UGCCCUAGUAACGGCGAGUGAAGCGGCAACAGCUCAAAUUUGAAAGCUAGCCUUCGGGUUCGCAUUGUAAUUUGUAGAGGAUGCUUUGGGUAAAACGCCAGUCUAAGUUCCUUGGAACAGGACGUCAUAGAGGGUGAGAAUCCCGUAUGUGACUGGAAAUGUUAACCUAUGUAAAGCUCCUUCGACGAGUCGAGUUGUUUGGGAAUGCAGCUCUAAAUGGGAGGUAAAUUUCUUCUAAAGCUAAAUAUUGGCGAGAGACCGAUAGCGCACAAGUAGAGUGAUCGAAAGAUGAAAAGCACUUUGGAAAGAGAGUUAAAAAGCACGUGAAAUUGUUGAAAGGGAAGCGCUUGCAAUCAGACUUGUUUAAACUGUUCGGCCGGUCUUCUGACCGGUUUACUCAGUUUGGACAGGCCAGCAUCAGUUUCGGCGGCCGGAUAAAGGCUCUGGGAAUGUGGCCUCCACUUCGGUGGAGGUGUUAUAGCCCAGUGUGUAAUACGGCCAGCCGGGACUGAGGUCCGCGCUUCGGCUAGGAUGCUGGCGUAAUGGUUGUAAGCGACCCGUCUUGAAACACGGACCAAGGAGUCUAACAUCUAUGCGAGUGUUCGGGUGUCAAACCCCUGCGCGUAAUGAAAGUGAACGGAGGUGGGAACCGCAAGGUGCACCAUCGACCGAUCCUGAUGUCUUCGGAUGGAUUUGAGUAAGAGCAUAGCUGUUGGGACCCGAAAGAUGGUGAACUAUGCCUGAAUAGGGUGAAGCCAGAGGAAACUCUGGUGGAGGCUCGCAGCGGUUCUGACGUGCAAAUCGAUCGUCAAAUUUGGGUAUAGGGGCGAAAGACUAA
This 838-nucleotide ribosomal RNA is filed under the name Aureobasidium sp. BJ-2021h. Its description in RNAcentral is "partial large subunit ribosomal RNA". It matches the Rfam family "Eukaryotic large subunit ribosomal RNA", at positions 76 to 934 of the family's 3401-position model. The record is from RNAcentral. Lineage: Eukaryota; Fungi; Ascomycota; Dothideomycetes; Dothideales; Saccotheciaceae.